GACUUCUGUGCCCAGGCUGGCUUUGAACCUCAAAUCUCAGCCUCCUGAGUAGCUAGGAUUCCAGGCCUAAGCCACUGACACCCAGCAUAGCUGCAAUUCUUUUCUGUCAAGGCAAUGAUGUUGAAAGUAAUGUCUGAGUGGAUAACCUAUCUUUGGGUCAGUAUAUCUCUUCUCUUCCUUAGAGUGCAAGGGACAAGUCACUCUAUAAGAAGAAGGUCCUCAGGUUCUUAAAUUUGCUAAGCAGGUGCUCUACCAUCUGUGUCUUGUACCCCAGCCCUAUUUUUUAAUUACUUGAGACAAGGUUUCACCAGCCAGGCUAGUCUUGAACUACAAAGCCCAAGGCUGCUUUCACACCCUCCAUCUUCCUGCUUAAGUCUUCUACUUGGUAGGAUUGUAGGCCUGAACCAGCACAAUAUCUUCUUUCUUAACACUUUUCCAUGGGUUGGGAAGUAAAGCAGGGUAGUUUUAAAACAAAACUUGAAGGGCUGGAGCUAUAGCUUAUUGGAUAGAGCAUUCGUCCCUGGGUUUGAUCUUAAGUACACCCUCUCCCUU
Perognathus longimembris pacificus (Pacific pocket mouse) is the source of this 552-nucleotide long non-coding RNA. RefSeq lists it as uncharacterized. The record is from RefSeq and is a predicted model, not a curated record. The transcript has 2 exons. Lineage: Eukaryota; Metazoa; Chordata; Mammalia; Rodentia; Heteromyidae.